Long non-coding RNA from Athene cunicularia (burrowing owl), 967 nucleotides. RefSeq lists it as uncharacterized. Lineage: Eukaryota; Metazoa; Chordata; Aves; Strigiformes; Strigidae. The record is from RefSeq and is a predicted model, not a curated record. The transcript is spliced from 3 exons.
GUUUCUUUCCAAGCUACACCAGGGAGCCAUGUGCUAACUGCUACGGUCCUGUACUCCAUCUGCUUGAAAGCAGGGGUGGGGGGAGGAAUCAGAAGAGAGAGAUUUAUCCUUGUUGGCCAGAGGAUGAACCUAAAUCCUGGCUGCAGUCUCUGUGUGUUGGAGGAAGACACGGCAGGAGAGAGGUAUCUCAGUGGAAAGAUAAGUUUGGUAGAUUUUAUUUAAGCUAUAACUUUUGAAGUUUUAGGCAUCAAAGAGAACAGAAAAAAAGGCCCAAAUGUGAAGAUCCUUGUUAGCUACUCAAAUAUCAGACAUGUCACCUAAUCAGCUGGAGUCCUUUAGAGGUUUACUGAAGCAGGUUUUUUCAGGCAAGCAGACAGUUCUGAGAAUUGAUAAGAAGCUACAUUUGCUUUCAGCUUUAAUAUACUUAUAUAAUUCUAACCAGGUCAGUAAUGGCCAAAACACAUUAUAAAAUAAUCUGUAUUCAUUUAAUUAGCAUAGGUCAUCUGACAGCUGCAAAGUUUCAGGAGACGUAAGUGCCACCAGUACAGACUGGAGUCAGCGACAGCAACACAGACAAACCUUUCCAGUGUGGCCUUGCCCUGGUGCACAGCUCCUGCUCUGCUGCCGCUCCCCAGCCCUGGCACAGGGCUCCCGAGGUCGCUGCCGUGGAGUUGGCGCUUCAGUAUCAAACUGCCCUAAGUGGCUGCACAUCCCAGGUGAAAUUUGUGACCCCAUGUCAGAGGCUGGAAGUGGAAGCCACAGGUACGUCCUGCUCACUUCAGGAUGCCGUUACGUCUCGGGCCUGGGUCUGCGUUUUCCUCUGCAAAAGAGAGUGCAAAAUGUUGAGGAGGAGGACGCUCCUUUCCACCCCCAACCCAUGCAUCAGUGCCAGCUGAAAGGUUUGUUCAUCAAGGAAAUAGUCUGCCCAGGACCUUGAAAGCAUCUGGGAGUCAGCAGCCACCAACGA